GAUGAACGCUGGCGGCGUGCCUAAUACAUGCAAGUCGAGCGAACAGACGAGGAGCUUACUCCUCUGACGUUAGCGGCGGACGGUUGAGUAACAAGUGGAUAACCUCCCUAUAAUACUGGGCUUACUUCAUGAAACCGGAGCUAAUACCGGGUAAUAUAUUGCACCUCAUGGUUCAAUAAUGAAAGACGUUUUUGCUAUCACUUAUAGAUGCAACCGAGCCCCAUUAUCUAGUUGGGAAGGUAACGGCUUAAGAACGUACCAAUGCGUAGACGAUCUGAGAGGGUGAUCGGGUACACUGGAAGUGAGAGACGGUCCAGACUCCUACGGGAGGAAGCAGUAGGGAAUCUUCCGCGAGGGGGGAGAGCUGGACGGAGCAAAGCCGCGUGAGUGAUGAAGGUGCUCGGAUCGUAGAACGAUGUUAGUAGGGAAGAACAAAUGUGUAAGUAAAUAGGAACGUCUUGACGGUACCUAAAGAGAAAGCCACGGCUAACUACGUG
This 497-nucleotide ribosomal RNA is filed under the name uncultured bacterium. Its description in RNAcentral is "partial 16S ribosomal RNA". It matches the Rfam family "Bacterial small subunit ribosomal RNA", at positions 28 to 507 of the family's 1533-position model. The record is from RNAcentral.